AACAUAAUUGGAUAAAAGUAGUGAUCAAGGACACAACUUGCCUUCAACGAGCUCCAGCUCAUCAGUCUCCACCUGCUGAACCCCUGGAUCCUCUGUGCUUGCUCGUCUACUCGCAUCAAUACAAACAUACAUAGUAUAGCAAAAAUUAACAUCACACCAAACAAUAGAAAAGAAUGCAUGAUAAUAUUCUACGCUGAGUAACGAGAUCGUAGGAACUAGAAUCACUAAAUUCGGAGUUACGGUUAUUAAGUUAUGAAUUUCUGAAGUUAUUUAGUACUUGGAAUGGGAUAAUUCAAGUGCAUAAUUUUAAUUCAAGUUUCAUAAUUAAAUAGAGCUACUAAUUGAUAGACAAUAUUAUUACAAAAUUAAUGCCACUGGAAUGGAUCAAUUUGGAGCAACAAUGAAUUAAAUAUGAUUUAUACAAGUUUCUGGAAUUAUUUUUGUAUUAAAAAUCAAUUUCCAAAACUAUUUAUCUGGUUUUUUCUGUCCUCUGGACCGCGCUACCAAUCACAGGGAGUAUAGGGACUAUAGUGCUAAAUACUCCAGACUCAGGGAGCAGCAACAGUGGACGAUGGGUUGAUUUUCAUUUUAGUCAGGAUUCAUUAGUAAAACAGACUCAGCGAAGUGGUAUCGGGGUCUUACGACUGUUUGAUUCUAAACCAACAGAUCAGAUUAGAUUUGAAUCCGCAAGCGCUUCUAGCCCAUGGAUCUAAGAUCUACGACACAUAUUUUAAAUAAUCGUGAUCAACCCGAGGCCAUCCGAUCACGAUCCAACAUAUCUGAUGACGCGCGUGAAGCGCUACCCUCACUUCUAAUCUGGGACGUUCGUAUAAUAAGAUCAACGGUCAAGAUCCUAAGCCGCAAGGGUACGCCUAAAGAACUAUCUUUAACAAUUGAUGUGCAAUCCUACGGUUGCUGGUCUUCUUCCCCAACGUGACACAAACCAGGUCCACUAGACGGCCUGUCCAACCCACGGCGGCGCCAUCGUCGGAAUCCACCAACACCCGACCCCACGCCCAAGCUUCAAUUCGAACCGGGGCACGCGUAGCGAAGGCAAAGAUCGGCAAGUGAGGUAGUUACCCGUUGGUGAUUGGUGGUGCGAGGGCAGCUGUCCACGAGAUGCGACGGAAGAAGAACUCCGGCGAGUGAUUACGGGCGCCCAGACGACUCCCCAGUUGCUACAACACCUCACGGGCACUGCUCGUAAAGAGACAAGGUCCCGGGUCCAAACGCCGCAGGCAGUGCGUUCACGGCGCGAGGAUUUCCGGCGGCAGCCCGAUGACAGCGGUAGAUCGACACUCUCCCUUCCACGAUGAGCUCGGUGGUUGGGGUGCG
RNAcentral lists this long non-coding RNA (1335 nucleotides) under Zea mays. RNAcentral describes it as "long non-coding RNA (ZMAY_LNC002721)". Lineage: Eukaryota; Viridiplantae; Streptophyta; Magnoliopsida; Poales; Poaceae. The record is from RNAcentral.